ACUUAGUCCAAAUAAGUGGACAGCAGGAAGAAAUUUUCAUCCAGCAAUUUCUCCUUCGUCAUGGUUCUCCUGAUGUCUGGAUUGGUCUAAAUGAUAGGCAGACAGAGGGGCACAUGCACUGGACUUCAGGCGAAUCAGUAAACUACUUGCACUGGAUACGAGGACACGUGGACAACAUUGUUGGUAGAUAUGAUGAGGACUGUGUCGUCAUGUUUCCACAACGAGGCGGACACUGGGACGACGUGCCUUGUGGGUGGCAGAAUGGAAUGGUCGUGAAACAUGUUGGCAUUUGUGAAUACAGGAUACAGACUUCCGGAUCAAUCAUUGGGAAAUGAACUUACGUUACAAC
Molecule: long non-coding RNA, 349 nt
Organism: Mya arenaria
Lineage: Eukaryota; Metazoa; Mollusca; Bivalvia; Myida; Myidae
Exons: 3
Source: RefSeq, a predicted model, not a curated record